RNAcentral lists this ribosomal RNA (253 nucleotides) under uncultured bacterium. RNAcentral's name for it is "partial 16S ribosomal RNA". It matches the Rfam family "Bacterial small subunit ribosomal RNA", at positions 524 to 776 of the family's 1533-position model. The record is from RNAcentral.
UACGUAGGAUGCAAGCGUUGUUCGGAAUUACUGGGCGUAAAGAGUACGUAGGCGGUUUGAUAAGUCUGAUAUUAAAGACUGGGGCUUAACCUCAGGAAUGUAUCGGAAACUGUCAGACUAGAGGACAGUAGAGGAAGUCGGAAUUCUCAGUGUAGCGGUGAAAUGCGUAGAUAUUGGGAAGAACACCAGUGGCGAAGGCGGCUCACUGGCCCGGUACUGACGCUGAGGUGCGAAAGCGUGGGGAGCAAACAGG